Molecule: unclassified non-coding RNA, 286 nt
Filed under: Hevea brasiliensis (rubber tree)
Lineage: Eukaryota; Viridiplantae; Streptophyta; Magnoliopsida; Malpighiales; Euphorbiaceae
Source: RNAcentral
GUUUUCCUAAACGGAACUCUACCAUCUCUUUUUUCCGGUUACCGUUUAGGUUUCCGACCAAUUUUCUUCUUCUCCGGUGAACUAUUCCGGUUAAAAGUUGUAUGGUGGGGUGUUUGUUUGAAUCUUAGGUUUGUGUUUCUGUUGGUUUUGAGUUUUAAUUCUUUGUUUUGAUUUAGAAAAUUUUGCUUCUUCUGAAGUCGUUGUGGGGAUAUUCGGGUCGUGUAAGAGUGUGUUAGAAGGUGAUUAUCUUUUGAUUAAGUUCUUUUUUUGCUUCUUUUGAGGGGGU